UACGUAGGGGGCAAGCGUUGUCCGGAAUCAUUGGGCGUAAAGAGCGUGUAGGCGGCCCGGUCAGUCCGCCGUGAAAGUCCAGGGCUCAACCCUGGAAUGCCGGUGGAUACUGCCGGGCUGGAGUCCGGAAGAGGCGAGUGGAAUUCCUGGUGUAGCGGUGAAAUGCGCAGAUAUCAGGAAGAACACCCGUGGCUAAGGCGGCUCUCUGGGCAGUAACUGACGCUGAGGAGCGAAAGCGUGGGGAGCGAACAGG
This 253-nucleotide ribosomal RNA is filed under the name uncultured bacterium. RNAcentral describes it as "partial 16S ribosomal RNA". It matches the Rfam family "Bacterial small subunit ribosomal RNA", at positions 524 to 776 of the family's 1533-position model. The record is from RNAcentral.